Phacochoerus africanus (Common warthog) is the source of this 596-nucleotide long non-coding RNA. RefSeq lists it as uncharacterized. NCBI's taxonomy places the organism in Eukaryota, Metazoa, Chordata, Mammalia, Artiodactyla, Suidae. The record is from RefSeq and is a predicted model, not a curated record. The transcript is spliced from 3 exons.
UACGCUCAACCGCACCUCUGGGAGAGAGCUGUGCGCUGGUGCUUUGUGCUUGUCCCGGUUAGACUUCGUGAGAAGAAUGAGGCACAAUGUAAACCACUUCCCCAAGUAACAAGACUGCGUGCAGCGCCAUGUGGGAUCUCAGUUCUCAGACCAGGGCUUAAACUUGGGCUGCAGUGGUGAAAGAGCUGAAUCUUAACCGUUGGACUGCCAAGGAAUUCCCUAGAUUCAAAAUCUUUCUUUUGAAAUUUGUUCCCGGUACAGAUGAGUCUAGUUUAUAUUCCCUUGCUGAUUACAUUCCCCUUACUCCCUUCCCAGAGGUAGCCACAACUCAGAAGUUGCUGUGUGUCCUUAUAGACCAUGUUUAAAACAUACCCAUAAACAACAUUUAUUAUUAUUCAAAUUUAUAUAAAUAUCACACUGACAGUAUCAUUAUAAAACUUUCUCUUUUAGCUCAACAAUAUAUAUAUGUCUUUUUAGGACCACACCCAAGGCAUAUAGAGGAUCCCAGGCUAGGGGUCAAAUCAGAGCUGUAGCUUGGAUUCCAUCCCAAUAGGAUCAGGGGCUAGGGGGCUUCCAUAUGCUUCGGGUGUGGCCAA